UAUCACCUUUUUUUUUUUGUCUUUGUAAGUUAUAAAUUUAUCUACUUUAUUAUUAUUAUGUUAUCUUGGUGGUUUGGGGUAGGUGGUACCUAAUAGGCAUAGAUCCAUCAACAUUUCUUUUUAAUCCGAGAAAGUGUCUUUAGUUUGGAACUUGUUGCAAUGGAGCUUUGGAAAUUGUAGUUCCUGAGGUUUUGUUUGUCUGUGCUCUAGAAUUCCAAUUCAUAUGUUCUUAUGCAAGAAUAUAUGAUUUUGCAGCUUGUUUUGAGCACUGGAAGUGGUGUUAAUGGCUUCACCCUUGAUCCAUCCCUUGGG
Molecule: unclassified non-coding RNA, 312 nt
Filed under: Hevea brasiliensis (rubber tree)
Lineage: Eukaryota; Viridiplantae; Streptophyta; Magnoliopsida; Malpighiales; Euphorbiaceae
Source: RNAcentral